Molecule: ribosomal RNA, 278 nt
Filed under: uncultured bacterium
Lineage: Bacteria
Description: partial 16S ribosomal RNA
Rfam family: Bacterial small subunit ribosomal RNA
Source: RNAcentral
AGCGAACGCUGGCGGCAGGCCUAACACAUGCAAGUCGAACGGACCCUUCGGGGUUAGUGGCGGACGGGUGAGUAACACGUGGGAACGUGCCUUUAGGUUCGGAAUAGCUCCUGGAAACGGGUGGUAAUGCCGAAUGUGCCCUUCGGGGAAGGAUUUAUCGCCUUUAGAGCGGCCCGCGUCUGAUUAGCUAGUUGGUGAGGUAACGGCUCACCAAGGCGACGAUCAGUAGCUGGUCUGAGAGGAUGACCAGCCACACUGGGGACUGAGACACGGCCCAG